GCUCACUCAUAGCUUAGCUAGCCUUUUAUUCUUAGCUAGCCUUGGAUCCACAGACAAUCUAGUCGCGGCAGUCGACGAACUGGUAGUUGACGUUGAGGUGGCCCUGCUGGAACCCGAUCCCGUUGGUGUCGAUCUUGGCGAAGACGGUGUCCCAGUCGAGGUCGAGCCCGCCGUUGGCGCACUUGUCCACGAUCCUCGCCGUGAUCUGCGCCCCCGUCGCCGGGUUGGUCACCCGGAGGCACUUGCCGCAGGCCGCCUGCCCGAGGGGGCCGGCGGGGCCGCAGAACGCCGUCCAGCCGUACUUGCUCCGCCACGACAGCGGCUUGCUGGCGUCCCAGGUCGCGCAGUAGGCGCUCACGGCGGGCGCGCCCAGGUCCCAGUUGUUCUGCGCCGGCCGGUAGUAGUGGUACGUCGCCCGGACGUUGUUCGCCUGCUGCGCCGUGGCCAUGGCCGUCGCCGCGCACAGGAGCGCCGCCACCAGCAUCAGGCGUGCCGCCAUCGUCGUCGACCGCAGUGAUCAGU
Molecule: long non-coding RNA, 522 nt
Filed under: Hordeum vulgare
Lineage: Eukaryota; Viridiplantae; Streptophyta; Magnoliopsida; Poales; Poaceae
Description: long non-coding RNA (HVUL_LNC008343)
Source: RNAcentral